UAGGAUGAGAAAUAUUUGAUUAGCUCUAGAUCAAGAGCCGCAACUAUUGUGGCGAUGAGCGACACUUUGCAUGUAUUACCUGAAUG
Cladophialophora carrionii is the source of this 86-nucleotide small nucleolar RNA. It matches the Rfam family "A. fimigatus snoRNA Afu_199". The record is from Rfam. NCBI's taxonomy places the organism in Eukaryota, Fungi, Ascomycota, Eurotiomycetes, Chaetothyriales, Herpotrichiellaceae.